Molecule: ribosomal RNA, 497 nt
Filed under: uncultured bacterium
Lineage: Bacteria
Description: partial 16S ribosomal RNA
Rfam family: Bacterial small subunit ribosomal RNA
Source: RNAcentral
GAUGAACGCUGGCGGCGUGCCUAAUACAUGCAAGUCGAGCGAACAGACGAGGAGCUUGCUCCUCUGACGUUAGCGGCGGACGGGUGAGUAACACGUGGAUAACCUGCCUAUAAGACUGGGAUAACUUCGGGAAACCGGAGCUAAUACCGGAUAAUAUAUUGAACCGCAUGGUUCAAUAGUGAAAGACGGUUUUGCUGUCACUUAUAGAUGGAUCCGCGCCGCAUUAGCUAGUUGGUAAGGUAACGGCUUACCAAGGCAACGAUGCGUAGCCGACCUGAGAGGGUGAUCGGCCACACUGGAACUGAGACACGGUCCAGACUCCUACGGGAGGCAGCAGUAGGGAAUCUUCCGCAAUGGGCGAAAGCCUGACGGAGCAACGCCGCGUGAGUGAUGAAGGUCUUCGGAUCGUAAAACUCUGUUAUUAGGGAAGAACAAAUGUGUAAGUAACUAUGCACGUCUUGACGGCACCUAAUCAGAAAGCCACGGCUAACUACGUG